AGAUUGAACGCUGGCGGAAUGCUUUACACAUGCAAGUCGAACGGCAGCACGGGACUCAGGCAACUGAGCCCUGGUGGCGAGUGGCGAACGGGUGAGUAACAUAUCGGAACGUACCCCAGUCGUGGGGGAUAACUCUCCGAAAGGAGAGCUAAUACCGACAUACGUCCUGAGGGAGAAAGCGGGGGGACCUAAGGGUAACUGAGGGCCUCGACGCGAUUGGAGACGGCCGAUAUCGGGAUUAAGCGUAGUUGGUGAGGUAAAGUCUCACCAGGACGACGAGUCCGAGCGGGUCUGAGAGGACGACCCGCCACACCGUGGAACCUGAGACGACGGUCCAGAC
This 340-nucleotide ribosomal RNA is filed under the name uncultured soil bacterium. Its description in RNAcentral is "bacterial SSU rRNA". It matches the Rfam family "Bacterial small subunit ribosomal RNA", at positions 26 to 336 of the family's 1533-position model. The record is from RNAcentral.